AAAGAUGGGGCGGCGCGGCCGGGGCUCGCCAGCACCAGCCCUGGAACCCCAUGGGGGACCUCGACAACAGCGCCUUUGCGGCGUGGGCCCCUUUCUGCAGCUCCUCCACCCGCGCGCUGUCGGCUCCGGGACACUGGGGCUUUGAAGGGCGCCAGUUCCCAGCCGCACCUGCACGCCUAGGAGGGCGCAGGCCGCGUGUCCCUGUGGGAGGAAGGCCCCGGCAACCUGCAAAGACCUCACGUCACAGAAACUUGCGGCGUUUGCCCCCGAUGCGCGCGUCAGGUGCUCCGUCCCUUCCAGGUGGCAGAGGAGAGGGAAGGGUCGCGCCUGGUGGGGGCCUGAGAGCCACCGGGCUGCGGUGCGCGAGUGUGGACACCGCCCCGCCUUCUGCGUCUACAGCCCUGGGUUCUGGGACCUUUGGAAACCGCUUUGGACGAAGCUGAGCAUCUCUUUCCCCACGCUGACCUCCCCCAUAGACUCCGGAUGGGAGUAAAUGAGGCCUCCUGUGAACAAAGCAUCACAACAGUCAGCAUCACAAACCCCCAUCAGCCCCGUGCAGUUGCAGUUGUGCUGGACCAGAGCCCAUCAGCCUGGCCUUCGGGCUCUCCUCCACAGCGCCCCACCCAGCUGCUCAGGAUGGCCAUGACCAUCUUCCAUCUGACGCUGUGUGCUCCCUGCACCUGGCCCCAGGAUGCGUGCAAUGGGCUAAACUGUGUCCCUCUUGAAAUGCAUGUGCUGAAGUCCUAAUCCUAAGUACCUCAGAAUGGGAGCUUAUGUGGAGGGAGGGUCUUUACCAAGUUAAAUCGAGUUAUCAGGGUGAGGCAUCAGCCCAUAUGACUGGUGUCCCUACAGAAAAAGGGAAAUGUGGCGACAGACACACACACACACACAAGGAGAACACAGUGUGACCAUGAACAUGGUCAUGGACAAGCCAAGGAGAGAGGCCUGGAACCUGUCCUCCCCACACAGCCCUCAGAGAUGACCAGCCCUGCCCACACCUUGACUUUGGACUUCCCACCUCCGGAACAGAGAAACAAUCCAUCUCGGUUGUUCAAGCCUCUAAUUUGUGCUGCUUUGUGAUGGCAGCCCCAGGAAACUGAAACAAUUCGCUAGCAGGCAAUGAAAAGGGCAGGCCCCCCAGCCCAGGCCAGCUUCAAACUCCUGGGAAAUCCAGAAACUCUAGAGAAGCUUGUUUGCCAAACCUUGCUUUGGGCGGUGGAGACAGAAUAUCAUGUCCCAGAUCAGCGUGUGGUGACUGUGGAGGCAUUUACACACAGCACACUCCAGCUCUGCCACUGGGCCGGCUGAGGUGGCUGCGGUACACGGCGCCCAUCCUGAGCCCCAGGUUCCUCACAUGUCAACAGCAUGAAAAGUGCCUCUAAGACAUCCACAGGUGUGCAGUGUUAAAGCAGGCAGCGCCUCAGCUUGGUUAGCUCCCUUAAGGACUGCGGCUCCCUUAGGACAAGGCUCUGUCCCUCAGAGCACUGAGUGCGAUCUCAUGCUGGCAUCUUAGAGACAUUGUAUUCACCAGGUAAGAUGGAUUCACAUCUGCUGGGUGCACGAACACUUCCUCCUUCCUUGCCACCAGCCAGCAUCACAACCAGCCUGGCCAGGCUCCCGUCCCAGCCCAGCCUAGCAGCUAACCCCAGCUCCAUCCCCCAGCAAGCCCCUCUGCCUGCACCUCAGCUUCUUCAUGGAAGACGAGUCAGGUCAUGAUGCCACCAGGGAGCGUGUUUCCAUGUUGAACUGAGACACUAAGCCCUUGACAAAUGUUGGCCAAGAAAAAAAAGGGGCUCCAAGAGGGGAGCUGUGGCUCAGGUAGAAGACGGUGAAUGAGCAUUGCCUGAAUCAGAGUUAGCUACUCUGGUUACACAGGUGUCCCCGGCAGGUUGGUCAAAAGCCCUUCCCUGAGUCCCGUGAUAAGUGUGGGGAGGGAGGCAAAUCAAAGACCCCUACACACCUCCUGCAUGGAUGGCCAGAGCGCUGGUCCCACCUCCUUCCUUCCAAACUGCAACCCCGAUCAGCACAGCAGAGAAGUCUCCUGUGGCAGGGACCAGUAAUUCAGUGCUUCCCCUGGAGAGUCUGGGAUUGCACAGAACACCAGAGGCUGGGGAUUUAUUUGUUCACCAACAUUCAUUCAACAAACACUUACUGAGGCCAACACUGGGAAUGGAGACGAACUUCCCUGUCCUCAUGGAGCUUGCUUUCAAAAGGGAAGGAGGCAGACAGUAAACAAAACAAGCAAGUCAAUAUACAGCAUGAUGCAGAAAAGGUGUGAUGCCACCCUCUUGCCUGAGUUUAUAACAAGCAGAUGAUGUUGUCCUAAGAAUUAAUUUCAGCCGGUGAAAGAGUACAGGCAAAAAACGUGGUCUCGGACUUUCCGGUGAUGCUUAAGAACAUAGUUGCAGUUUUUGUUCUGAUUCUUUGUGCAUCUCGCGCUAAUGAAGGAUUCUGCCAUGAUUGCCACCUCUGGAGACGUCACAGCCAGCACAGCCAUGACCAGGGAUGAACUUGGCCAUUGUCCAGCAGCACCAUGGGAGGACCAGCUGCUGUAAGUGAAGGUCAUCAUCCAUCUGAUUUGCUGGCUUUUUGCAACUACUGCGGUGGAAGUCUUAGAGUAGCCACCUUCUCUGUACUCAGACCUUCACUUCGCCAGAUGUCAGCACAGCAGUGUCAGCAGCUUCGUCAAACACAAACACCACCACCUCUCUGGAUCAGAAGCACAUGGAAAGCCCACCUUGCAAGAAGACCCAGCUAUUCCAAAAGUACCCAUAUCCCUGUAGCAUCCUCUUAGCUGAAUGUCUCUACUCCUUAAACUUGUACCACUUUGAAGAGUAAAAAUUUAAAUUCA
Molecule: long non-coding RNA, 2851 nt
Organism: Homo sapiens (human)
Lineage: Eukaryota; Metazoa; Chordata; Mammalia; Primates; Hominidae
Product: long intergenic non-protein coding RNA 1018
Source: Ensembl